This 119-nucleotide ribosomal RNA is filed under the name Labrus bergylta (ballan wrasse). The record is from RNAcentral. Lineage: Eukaryota; Metazoa; Chordata; Actinopteri; Labriformes; Labridae.
GCUUACGGCCAUACCACCCUGAACACACCCGAUCUCGUCCGAUCUCGGAAGCUAAGCAGGGUCGGGCCCGGUUAGUACUUGGAUGGGAAACCGCCUGGGAAUACCAGGUGCUGUAAGCU